UAACCCGCCACGCUUAGCGCGUGGGGAGACAGUGUCAGGUGGGCAGUUUGACUGGGGCGGUCGCCUCCUAAAGAGUAACGGAGGCGCCCAAAGGUUCCCUCAGAAUGGAUGGAAAUCAUUCGCAGAGGGUAAAGGCACAAGGGAGCUUGACUGCGAGACUGACAAGUCGAGCAGGGACGAAAGUCGGGCUUAGUGAUCCGGUG
RNAcentral lists this ribosomal RNA (203 nucleotides) under Listeria monocytogenes. Its description in RNAcentral is "partial 23S ribosomal RNA". It matches the Rfam family "Bacterial large subunit ribosomal RNA", at positions 2223 to 2425 of the family's 2925-position model. The record is from RNAcentral. Lineage: Bacteria; Bacillati; Bacillota; Bacilli; Caryophanales; Listeriaceae.